RNAcentral lists this ribosomal RNA (761 nucleotides) under uncultured bacterium. RNAcentral's name for it is "bacterial SSU rRNA". It matches the Rfam family "Bacterial small subunit ribosomal RNA", at positions 8 to 796 of the family's 1533-position model. The record is from RNAcentral.
AGAGUUUGAUCAUGGCUCAGAAUCAACGCUGGCGGCGUGCCUAACACAUGCAGGUCGCACGAGAAAGGGGCUUCGGCCCUGAGUAAAGUGGCGCACGGGUGAGUAACACGUGAAUCAUCUACCCUCGAGUGGGGAAUAACCUAGAGAAAUCUGGGCUAAUACCGCAUAACACUUACGAGUCAAAGCAGCAAUGCGCUUGGGGAGGAGUUCGCGGCCGAUUAGUUAGUUGGCGGGGUAAUGGCCCACCAAGACGAUGAUCGGUAUCCGGCCUGAGAGGGCGCACGGACACACUGGAACUGAAACACGGUCCAGACUCCUACGGGAGGCAGCAGUGGGGAAUUUUGCGCAAUGGGGGAAACCCUGACGCAGCAACGCCGCGUGGAGGAUGAAAUCCCUUGGGAUGUAAACUCCUUUCGAUUGGGAAGAUUAUGACGGUACCAAUAGAAGAAGCCCCGGCUAACUUCGUGCCCAGCAGCCCGCGGUAAAUACGAGGGGGGCNGCGUUGUUUCGGGAAUUAUUGGGCGUAAAGGGUGCGUAGGCGGUUUGACAAGUCUUAUGUGAAAUCUAUGGGCUCAACCCCAUAGUCUGCAUGAGAAACUGUUGAGCUUGAGUAUGGGAGAGGUGAGUGGAAUUUCCGGUGUAGCGGUGAAAUGCGUAGAUAUCGGAAGGAACACCUGUGGCGAAAGCGGCUCACUGGACCAUAACUGACGCUGAGGCACGAAAGCUAGGGGAGCAAACAGGAUUAGAUACCCUAGUAGUCC